This 403-nucleotide ribosomal RNA is filed under the name uncultured bacterium. Its description in RNAcentral is "bacterial SSU rRNA". It matches the Rfam family "Bacterial small subunit ribosomal RNA", at positions 97 to 518 of the family's 1533-position model. The record is from RNAcentral.
GGCGGACGGGUGAGUAACGCGUGGUAACCUGCCUCAUACAGGGGGAUAACAGUUAGAAAUGACUGCUAACACCGCAUAAUAUAGCGAAACCGCAUGAUUUUGCUAUCAAAUAUUUAUAGGUAUGAGAUGGGCCCGCGUCUGAUUAGCUAGUUGGUGGGGUAAAGCCUACCAAGGCGACGAUCAGUAGCCGGCUUGAGAGAGUGACCGGCCACAUUGGGACUGAGACACGGCCCAAACUCCUACGGGAGGCAGCAGUGGGGAAUAUUGGACAAUGGGGGAAACCCUGAUCCAGCGAACCGCCGCGUGAGUGAAGAAGUAUUUCGGUAUGUAAAGCUCUAUCAGCAGGGAAGAUAAUGACAGUACCUGACUAAGAAGCCCCGGCUAACUACGUGCCAGCCGCUGC